This 446-nucleotide ribosomal RNA is filed under the name uncultured bacterium. RNAcentral's name for it is "SSU rRNA". It matches the Rfam family "Bacterial small subunit ribosomal RNA", at positions 26 to 518 of the family's 1533-position model. The record is from RNAcentral.
AGAACGAACGCUGGCGGCAUGCCUAACACAUGCAAGUCGAACGAGAUCUUCGGAUCUAGUGGCGCACGGGUGCGUAACGCGUGGGAAUCUGCCUUUCGGUACGGAAUAACUCAUGGAAACGUGUGCUAAUACCGUAUGAUGUCGCGAGACCAAAGAUUUAUCGCCGAGAGAUGAGCCCGCGUAGGAUUAGCUAGUUGGUGGGGUAAAGGCCUACCAAGGCGACGAUCCUUAGCUGGUCUGAGAGGAUGAUCAGCCACACUGGGACUGAGACACGGCCCAGACUCCUACGGGAGGCAGCAGUGGGGAAUAUUGGACAAUGGGCGCAAGCCUGAUCCAGCAAUGCCGCGUGAGUGAUGAAGGCCUUAGGGUUGUAAAGCUCUUUUACCCGGGAAGAUAAUGACUGUACCGGGAGAAUAAGCCCCGGCUAACUCCGCGCCAGCAGCCGC